CCAACUCACCAAUGGUCCAAUAGAACAGACGUUGGUCCACAUUUGCAAUCGAUGCCCUCGAGCCGCCACGCAGUCGGGUUGACAGUUCUACUACUCUCCACGACUUGACGCGAGGGCGAGGCCCUUCUUCGGCGGCUCUCCGCACGGCGCUGGACAAGAAGGUGGAGGAGGUUUGGUUUCCCUCGUGGCCCCGUCGCCACCUCGCCAAGGCUAGGGACGGAACGGAACGCCGCCCAGAGGCUCCUCUGCCUACUCGAAGGCCUGGGAGGCAAGGGAUCAUCGAUACACCAUCCUGAGCCAAGAGCCCUCUGUUGCCUGAUGUGCGCGCUUUCAUAAGCUCCUAGUUUGACUCCAAAGUUGGAAAUUGCUGGCAGCUUCAGCCAAGUGGUAGUUGAUUGGAAGCUGAACUGUUGGUUCAUGUAACAGUAGAUUGCAACGCGGGUUGCAAGUUCACGGACCAACAAGCAGUUACUUAGCUAUUGGGAGUUCAUUUGACUCUUCUGCGAUAACACAGUGAGAGAUGGACGGGUUCAUGGCAAGUGCAGCGACAGGGGUGAUGAGCUCCCUUCUCGCCAAGCUCGCUGAGCUGCUUGGGGAGGACUACAAGAUGCAGAGGGGCAUGAGGCGCGAGAUCGCGUUCCUCAAGGAUGAGCUGGGCAGCAUGAACGCGCUGCUGGAGAGGCUAGCCGGCUCGGAGGCGCUCGAUCCGCAGACCAAGGAGUGGAGGGACCAGGUGAGGGAGAUGAGCUACGACAUCGAGGACUGUGUCGAUGGUUACAUGCGUCAGCUGCAGCACGAGCCGCAGAGGAACAGUGGAAUCACGGGAUUCUUCCUUGGGUAUGUGCAGAAGGUGAAGGAUCUCGUUACCCGUCACGAGAUUGCCGAGCAGAUUCAGGAGCUCAAGGCUCGGAUCGUUGAGGCUAGCCACAGAAGGAAGAGGUACAAGAUUGAUGACACAGCUAAUUCUGGUGCCGCCAAUGUGAUCCCUGUGGACCGUCGGUUGCCAGCGCUCUAUGCAGAAUUGGGUAGCCUUGUUGGUAGCGAUGUUCCUAGAGAUGAGAUUAUCAAGCUACUUGAUGAUGGGGCGCUGGCCGUAAAGGUGGUGUCUAUUGUGGGCUGUGGAGGACUGGGAAAGACUACUGUCGUGAAUCAGGUUUACAUAAACAUCGCCGAGAAAUUUGAUUGCCAAGCCUCUGUGUCCUUGUCCCAAAAUCCUGAUAUGGUGAACAUAUUCCGGUCGAUACUGUCUCAAGUCAAGAAAGAUGAGUGUGGUAGCACCAGCUCAUGUGACAAGGAACUUCUCAUCAAUGAAUUGAGGGAUUUCCUUAAGGACAAGAGGUAUUUUAUUGUAAUUGAUGACAUAUGGAGUACCCAAGCAUGGAAGACAAUUAAAUUUGCUUUGGUUGAGAAUACUUGCGGCAGUAGAGUAAUAGUGACAACAAGAAUUGGUACUAUUGCCAAAUCUUGUUCAUCCCCAUUCCAUCAUCUCGUAUAUGAAUUGAGGAUGCUAGGUGAAGAUGACUCCAAAAGGCUAUUCUUUAGAAGAAUUUUUGGCUCUGAGGACAAGUGCCCUCACCAUUUAAAAGAGGUUUCAGUUGAAAUAAUUAAGAAGUGUGGUGGUUUACCAUUGGCAAUCAUUACUAUGGCUAGUUUGUUGACUACUAAAUCAUAUACCAGAGCUGACUGGUUGAAGGUUUCUAAUUCAAUUGGAUCUGGGCUAGAGAAAAAUUGUGAUGUGGAGGAAAUGAACAUGAUAUUAUCUCUGAGUUACAAUCACCUUCCUCAUCAUUUAAAGACUUGUUUAUUGUAUCUAAGUAUGUUUCCUGAAGAUUAUGUGAUCAAGAGGGAUUAUUUGGUAAGAAGGUGGGUAGCAGAAGGAUUUGUUAGUGCACAUGGUAGAAGAAAUCUGGACGAUGAAGGCGAAUGCUAUUUUAAUGAACUUAUCAACAGAAGCUUAAUACAACCGGUAGAUUUUCAGUAUGAUGGUAGAGUAUAUGCAUGCCGGGUUCAUGAUAUGAUUCUUGAUCUGAUUACAUGCAAGGCUGUUGAAGAAAAUUUCAUAACUGUUGUUACUAAUAGAAAACAAAUGUUGCCCUCACAUGGCAAGGUCCACCGACUGUCACUUGAGUACCAUGGUCUUGAAACCUUAAGAACAAAUCCCAUUUUUACUACUCAUGUUCGGUCCCUGAACAUAUUUAGAUACUCUGAAGAAAUGCUUCCUCUUUCAGGCUUGCACUCCCUAAGAGUGCUUGAUCUAGAUGGCAAUGAGAAUUUGGAAAGCUGUUACCUUGAAGAUAUAGGGAAGUUAUAUCAGUUGCGAUACCUACGGAUUAAGGCAAGUAAUAUUACACUUCUGGAAAGGAUAGAAGAGCUUCAGUGUUUGGUAAUACUGGAUCUUCUGAAUUGCCCUAAUCUAGGUGAAUUGCCUAGAAGUAUUGUUCAACUUCGGAACUUGAAAUGGUUAACUGUUCAUCGAGCGAACUUGCCAGAUGGAGUUGGGAACAUGCAAGCGCUAGAGUUUCUUUCACUUGUAGUUGUGGACUACACUACCUCAACAAACUUAUUGGAAGAGCUGGGCAGCUUGACCAAAUUGAGAACUCUUAGGUUGGAUUGGCGCAUCAACCCCCUGCACAGGGAUAAAAAAACAUAUGAGGGUAAUUUUGUUUCUUCACUUGGCAAACUAGGCAGUUCAAACCUUCGAUACCUAACACUCAUCAGUCCAUGGUCACUCGACUUCCUGUUGGAACCUUGGUCCCCAACUCCACAUUUCCUUCAGGAGUUAGUGAUCAAAGGAUGGCAUCUCAACAAUAUUCCAGUCUGGAUGGCCUCGCUAACCAACCUCACCUACCUGGACGUUGAGGUUAAAGUUAGACAAGAAACUCUCCAGAUCCUCGGAGAUUUCCCUGCCUUACAAUUCCUGAAGGUGUCCUCAAAUGCAGCAGGAUCUGAGGCAAUGUGCCUUGUCGUCAGCAACGAUGGAUUCCGAUGUCUGAAGAAGUUCAGUUUCGUUGGCUGGGUAAACAUGAUGUUCAAAGAAGGAGCUGUUCCAGCGCUUGAAACUCUUGAGUUUCAAAUCAUAGCGCACGAGAUGCAUACUGCACGCAGAUUUGGUCCUCCUGAUUUCGGCAUCAGCCACCUCUCCACCCUCAGGAAUCUCGUCGUCAAUGUUCACUGUGAAGGUUCAAGGGUUAAAGAGGUGGAGGCAGUAGAGGCUGCUAUCCAGAAGUCAGCCAGUACGCUUCCUAAUUAUCCCACACUAGGUUUGCACAGAUUUCUCGAGUCAGAACUGGUAAAAGAAUGACGUUAAUGGAGAAGCGGCAGAGCCAUGAGGGAGGACAAGAAACAGCUAAUAAGCCUUGUCUAGUUCUGCUCCCAAGUGCCUUAAGCUACUCCUUUUUCCCGACGAAUACGCGCAGAUGCUAGAGGCCUGGUGCUAUCACUAUAUCACAGGAAGUAACCUGAGCAUCUUGGUUCCGCCUUGGUGCUACUAUCUACCUAUCGGGCAUCAUCAGCAAACUCUAUGGUACAUCAUAGUAAGGGUCACAAAAAAAAAAACAUGCUGAGGAUUGGAGGAAUCUUUUGACAUGAAAAGCAAGACAUAGCAGGUUAUACAUACAUAGAUGCGCACAGGUGCUCUAUCUGAAUCAGAUGCCCUUGCUGAACAGGAGCAGCAGCCACCCAUUGUAUCUCUAGAAUGAAAUGCUUACUACAGGCUAUCCUCUAGCUGACGUUAAAAACCAAAGUCCCGUUGUUCAUAUCCCUACAAAGAGAAACCCUGUGCUGGUGCAAGGACAGGAAAUCGUGUGAUAAAUACAAAUGGUGUGGAAAGAGCUUAACAAUGCAACAAUAUCUAUGUAGCACUAGCACCAUAAUGGAGACGAU
Molecule: RNA transcript, 3882 nt
Organism: Zea mays
Lineage: Eukaryota; Viridiplantae; Streptophyta; Magnoliopsida; Poales; Poaceae
Gene name: disease resistance protein PIK6-NP
Exons: 4
Source: RefSeq, a predicted model, not a curated record